RNAcentral lists this ribosomal RNA (694 nucleotides) under uncultured bacterium. RNAcentral describes it as "bacterial SSU rRNA". It matches the Rfam family "Bacterial small subunit ribosomal RNA", at positions 55 to 738 of the family's 1533-position model. The record is from RNAcentral.
AUGCAGUCGAGGGGCAGCAUGAUUUGUAGCAAUACAGAUUGAUGGCGACCGGCGCACGGGUGAGUAACGCGUAUGCAACUUACCUAUCAGAGGGGGAUAGCCCGGCGAAAGUCGGAUUAAUACCCCAUAAAACAGGGGUCCCGCAUGGGAAUAUUUGUUAAAGAUUCAUCGCUGAUAGAUAGGCAUGCGUUCCAUUAGGCAGUUGGCGGGGUAACGGCCCACCAAACCGACGAUGGAUAGGGGUUCUGAGAGGAAGGUCCCCCACAUUGGUACUGAGACACGGACCAAACUCCUACGGGAGGCAGCAGUGAGGAAUAUUGGUCAAUGGCCGAGAGGCUGAACCAGCCAAGUCGCGUGAAGGAAGAAGGAUCUAUGGUUUGUAAACUUCUUUUAUAGGGGAAUAAAGUGGAGGACGUGUCCUUUUUUGUAUGUACCCUAUGAAUAAGCAUCGGCUAACUCCGUGCCAGCAGCCGCGGUAAUACGGAGGAUGCGAGCGUUAUCCGGAUUUAUUGGGUUUAAAGGGUGCGUAGGUGGUGAUUUAAGUCAGCGGUGAAAGUUUGUGGCUCAACCAUAAAAUUGCCGUUGAAACUGGGUUACUUGAGUGUGUUUGAGGUAGGCGGAAUGCGUGGUGUAGCGGUGAAAUGCAUAGAUAUCACGCAGAACUCCGAUUACGAAGGCAGCUUACUAAACCAUA